AAAUGGAGGGUGUAGUGUAGCUGGGGAGCUCACUGUGGCAUUUCACUUUCCCUCCCAGGCCAGAAACCCGGUGGGGCGUGCCGGGCCUCCCCCGGCCAUCUCAGGCGAGCUGGAGGCUGCUGCCCGCCCCUUGGUGAGUCCACCCCGUGCUUGACAGAGCCCAGGCCAGGUUCUUCAACUCCAGAAGGGUUUCAGGCAGGACCGGUGGAGAAGCUCCGGUGACACCUCACUUCCAUCAGACCCAGGAUCUACUGCCUCCUAACCAAAGGAGGUCUCUGCAGUGAGUCCCGUGUCUCAUAGCGAGUUGGAGGCAGGAAUGGGAGUGCGAGUCUGUCCUGUCGGCUCUGAUACAGAAAGGAACCCCAUAGGACCAACCUCAGCAGUGCAUAGCUCAGGGUAAGAUAAUACAAGGAAGAAUCUGACCUCCUAUUAUGCUCCAAACAGAGACUGCUCAAUUCAUC
This 461-nucleotide long non-coding RNA is filed under the name Ornithorhynchus anatinus (platypus). Its description in RNAcentral is "lncRNA (ENSOANG00000042503.1)". The record is from RNAcentral. Lineage: Eukaryota; Metazoa; Chordata; Mammalia; Monotremata; Ornithorhynchidae.